This 627-nucleotide long non-coding RNA is filed under the name Vigna radiata. RNAcentral's name for it is "long non-coding RNA (VRAD_LNC000513)". Lineage: Eukaryota; Viridiplantae; Streptophyta; Magnoliopsida; Fabales; Fabaceae. The record is from RNAcentral.
AAUUUAGAAACUAGGUUCAAGAUAUUUUUUUCUUUUUGUUGAAAUUUUUAGGAAUUUAAUAUAACCAGGAACCUGAUGCAGUGUCCCAAUCAUAGGAACUUUAAUCUCAAUUUAUUGAAGAUUUCCAUGAAAUGCUCAAACUGUUUUCCUUUUUCUUCCUAUGAUCCUUCUCUGGGUGAGGAAGGGGUUUUUGAUAUGAUUCUUUCUUUUUGCUUUCAUCCUUCCCCUUUCUCUUUUUCUCCUUAGGACACAAAGGACUUUUCUCAAAUUUUUUCUUUUCUCUCUCAACCCCUUCUUUUUCUUCCUCUACAUCCUUCUCUUUUUCACUCAAACAUUAUUUUUCUUCUCUCUCUAUUUUUCUCUCAUCCUCUUUCUUUCCUUCCCUCUCUUUGUCCUUUUCUUUCCCUAAUUUUCUUUCUUUUCUACCUCUUUCUUUUUCUCACUCAAACUUUCUAUUUUUAUCUCAUCUUCUUUUUCUUCUUCUUCUUGCUCUUUAUCACUCAAACUCUCUUCUUCUUUUCUCUCUAUUUUUUUCUCAUCCUCUCUUUUUUUCUUCUUUUUCUCUUUCCUCAUUUGGGGCUUUUUCACUUUCAAUGACAACAUCUUUGCAAUGCUUUCGAGGCCCCU